This is a non-coding RNA of Arabidopsis thaliana x Arabidopsis arenosa, 107 nucleotides long. NCBI's taxonomy places the organism in Eukaryota, Viridiplantae, Streptophyta, Magnoliopsida, Brassicales, Brassicaceae. The record is from the annotation of a GenBank genome assembly.
AACCCAUGGUGGGGGCGUUCCCUGUAGUAAUCUUUGAACUGCUCCCAAACUACAUGGAAUGAUUCUAUACCAGUCUGCUGGAAGGAGGAGAUCUUAUUCCUCAGAAU